RNAcentral lists this ribosomal RNA (22 nucleotides) under Thelymitra cyanea. RNAcentral's name for it is "partial 26S ribosomal RNA". Lineage: Eukaryota; Viridiplantae; Streptophyta; Magnoliopsida; Asparagales; Orchidaceae. The record is from RNAcentral.
GCAACCCCAGGAUGGGCGGGAU